UACGUAGGGUGCGAGCGUUGUCCGGAAUUAUUGGGCGUAAAGGGCUCGUAGGCGGUUUGUCGCGUCGGGAGUGAAAACCUACAGCUUAACUGUGGGCUUGCUUUCGAUACGGGCAGACUAGAGGUAUGCAGGGGAGAAUGGAAUUCCUGGUGUAGCGGUGAAAUGCGCAGAUAUCAGGAGGAACACCGGUGGCGAAGGCGGUUCUCUGGGCCGAUACUGACGCUGAGGAGCGAAAGCGUGGGGAGCAAACAGG
Molecule: ribosomal RNA, 253 nt
Filed under: uncultured bacterium
Lineage: Bacteria
Description: partial 16S ribosomal RNA
Rfam family: Bacterial small subunit ribosomal RNA
Source: RNAcentral